RNAcentral lists this ribosomal RNA (497 nucleotides) under uncultured bacterium. RNAcentral describes it as "partial 16S ribosomal RNA". It matches the Rfam family "Bacterial small subunit ribosomal RNA", at positions 28 to 507 of the family's 1533-position model. The record is from RNAcentral.
GAUGAACGCUGGCGGCGUGCCUAAUACAUGCAAGUCGAGCGAACAGAUAAGGAGCUUGCUCCUUUGACGUUAGCGGCGGACGGGUGAGUAACACGUGGGUAACCUACCUAUAAGACUGGGAUAACUUCGGGAAACCGGAGCUAAUACCGGAUAACAUUUGGAACCGCAUGGUUCUAAAGUGAAAGAUGGUUUUGCUAUCACUUAUAGAUGGACCCGCGCCGUAUUAGCUAGUUGGUAAGGUAACGGCUUACCAAGGCAACGAUACGUAGCCGACCUGAGAGGGUGAUCGGCCACACUGGAACUGAGACACGGUCCAGACUCCUACGGGAGGCAGCAGUAGGGAAUCUUCCGCAAUGGGCGAAAGCCUGACGGAGCAACGCCGCGUGAGUGAUGAAGGUCUUCGGCUCGUAAAACUCUGUUAUUAGGGAAGAACAAACGUGUAAGUAACUGUGCACGUCUUGACGGUACCUAAUCAGAAAGCCACGGCUAACUACGUG